RNAcentral lists this ribosomal RNA (835 nucleotides) under uncultured bacterium. Its description in RNAcentral is "bacterial SSU rRNA". It matches the Rfam family "Bacterial small subunit ribosomal RNA", at positions 616 to 1452 of the family's 1533-position model. The record is from RNAcentral.
GGGAACUGCGUUNUGAACUGGGUAGCUAGAGUAUGUCAGAGGGGGGUAGAAUUCCACGUGUAGCAGUGAAAUGCGUAGAGAUGUGGAGGAAUACCGAUGGCGAAGGCAGCCCCCUGGGAUAAUACUGACGUUCAUGCUCGAAAGCGUGGGUAGCAAACAGGAUUAGAUACCCUGGUAGUCCACGCCCUAAACGAUGUCGAUUAGCUGUUGGGCAACUUGAUUGCUUAGUAGCGUAGCUAACGCGUGAAAUCGACCGCCUGGGGAGUACGGUCGCAAGAUUAAAACUCAAAGGAAUUGACGGGGACCCGCACAAGCGGUGGAUGAUGUGGAUUAAUUCGAUGCAACGCGAAGAACCUUACCUGGUCUUGACAUGUACGGAAGAACUCAGAGACGAGUUUGUGCCUUCGGGAGCCGUAACACAGGUGCUGCAUGGCUGUCGUCAGCUCGUGUCGUGAGAUGUUGGGUUAAGUCCCGCAACGAGCGCAACCCUUGUCAUUAGUUGCCAUCAUUUAGUUGGGCACUCUAAUGAGACUGCCGGUGACAAACCGGAGGAAGGUGGGGAUGACGUCAAGUCCUCAUGGCCCUUAUGACCAGGGCUUCACACGUCAUACAAUGGUCGGUACAGAGGGUAGCCAAGCCGCGAGGUGGGGCCAAUCCCAGAAAACCGGUCGUAGUCCGGAUUGCACUCUGCAACUCGAGUGCAUGAAGUCGGAAUCGCUAGUAAUCGCAGGUCAGCAUACUGCGGUGAAUACGUUCCCGGGUCUUGUACACACCGCCCGUCACACCAUGGGAGUGGGGGAUACCAGAAGUAGGUAGGGUAACCGCAAGGAGCCCG